This 384-nucleotide ribosomal RNA is filed under the name uncultured Oscillospiraceae bacterium. RNAcentral describes it as "bacterial SSU rRNA". It matches the Rfam family "Bacterial small subunit ribosomal RNA", at positions 355 to 754 of the family's 1533-position model. The record is from RNAcentral. Lineage: Bacteria; Bacillati; Bacillota; Clostridia; Eubacteriales; Oscillospiraceae.
UGGGGAAUAUUGGGCAAUGGGGCGCAAGCCUGACCCAGCAACGCCGCGUGAAGGAAGAAGGCUUUCGGGUUGUAAACUUCUUUUGUCAGGGACGAUAAUGACGGUACCUGACGAAUAAGCCACGGCUAACUACGUGCCAGCAGCCGCGGUAAUACGUAGGUGGCAAGCGUUGUCCGGAUUUACUGGGUGUAAAGGGCGUGUAGGCGGGAUCGCAAGUCAGAUGUGAAAACUAUGGGGCUCAACCCAUAGCCUGCAUUUGAAACUGUGGUUCUUGAGUGAUGGAGAGGCAGGCGGAAUUCCUAGUGUAGCGGUGAAAUGCGUAGAUAUUAGGAGGAACACCAGUGGCGAAGGCGGCCUGCUGGACAUUAACUGACGCUGAGGCGC